GGGUUGUGAGGUUAAGCGACUAAGCGUACACGGUGGAUGCCCUGGCAGUCAGAGGCGAUGAAGGGCGUGCUAAUCUGCGAUAAGCGCCGGUAAGGUGAUAUGAACCGUUAUAACCGGCGAUACCCGAAUGGGGAAACCCAGUGUGACUCGUCACACUAUCAUUAACUGAAUCCAUAGGUUAAUGAGGCGAACCGGGGGAACUGAAACAUCUAAGUACCCCGAGGAAAAGAAAUCAACCGAGAUUCCCCCAGUAGCGGCGAGCGAACGGGGAGGAGCCCAGAGCCUGAAUCAGCAUGUGUGUUAGUGGAAGCGUCUGGAAAGGCGCGCGAUACAGGGUGACAGCCCCGUACACAAAAGCGCAUGUGCUGUGAGCUCGAUGAGUAGGGCGGGACACGUGGUAUCCUGUCUGAAUAUGGGGGGACCAUCCUCCAAGGCUAAAUACUCCUGACUGACCGAUAGUGAACCAGUACCGUGAGGGAAAGGCGAAAAGAACCCCGGCGAGGGGAGUGAAAAAGAACCUGAAACCGUGUACGUACAAGCAGUGGGAGCCCCACCACUAAGCCAGUGGUGAACUCCACAUCCGCAUCCUUUGCUGAGGAUACGGUUAACGGAGCGAAAGCGACGUUCAACCGCAAAACAAGCAGAGGGGGCUUAGUGGUGGGGUGACUGCGUACCUUUUGUAUAAUGGGUCAGCGACUUAUAUUCUGUAGCAAGGUUAACCGAAUAGGGGAGCCGGAGGGAAACCGAGUCUUAAUUGGGCGUUAAGUUGCAGGGUAUAGACCCGAAACCCGGUGAUCUAGCCAUGGGCAGGUUGAAGGUUGGGUAACACUAACUGGAGGACCGAACCGACUAAUGUUGAAAAAUUAGCGGAUGACCUGUGGCUGGGGGUGAAAGGCCAAUCAAACCGGGAGAUAGCUGGUUCUCCCCGAAAGCUAUUUAGGUAGCGCCUCGUGAAUUCAUCUCCGGGGGUAGAGCACUGUUUCGGCUAGGGGGCCAUCCCGGCUUACCAACCCGAUGCAAACUGCGAAUACCGGAGAAUGUUAUCACGGGAGACACACGGCGGGUGCUAACGUCCGUCGUGAAGAGGGAAACAACCCAGACCGCCAGCUAAGGUCCCAAAGUCAUGGUUAAGUGGGAAACGAUGUGGGAAGGCCCAGACAGCCAGGAUGUUGGCUUAGAAGCAGCCAUCAUUUAAAGAAAGCGUAAUAGCUCACUGGUCGAGUCGGCCUGCGCGGAAGAUGUAACGGGGCUAAACCAUGCACCGAAGCUGCGGCAGCGACGCUGAUGCGUUGUUGGGUAGGGGAGCGUUCUGUAAGCCUGUGAAGGUGUGUCGUGAGGCAUGCUGGAGGUAUCAGAAGUGCGAAUGCUGACAUAAGUAACGAUAAAGCGGGUGAAAAGCCCGCUCGCCGGAAGACCAAGGGUUCCUGUCCAACGUUAAUCGGGGCAGGGUGAGUCGACCCCUAAGGCGAGGCCGAAAGGCGUAGUCGAUGGGAAACGGGUUAAUAUUCCCGUACUUGGUGUUACUGCGAAGGGGGGACGGAGAAGGCUAUGUUGGCCGGGCGACGGUUGUCCCGGUUUAAGCGUGUAGGUGUGUGUUCCAGGUAAAUCCGGUUCACUUUAACACUGAGGCGUGACGACGAGGCACUACGGUGCUGAAGCAACAAAUGCCCUGCUUCCAGGAAAAGCCUCUAAGCAUCAGGUAACAUCAAAUCGUACCCCAAACCGACACAGGUGGUCAGGUAGAGAAUACCAAGGCGCUUGAGAGAACUCGGGUGAAGGAACUAGGCAAAAUGGUGCCGUAACUUCGGGAGAAGGCACGCUGACACGUAGGUGAAGUGAUUUACUCAUGGAGCUGAAGUCAGUCGAAGAUACCAGCUGGCUGCAACUGUUUAUUAAAAACACAGCACUGUGCAAACACGAAAGUGGACGUAUACGGUGUGACGCCUGCCCGGUGCCGGAAGGUUAAUUGAUGGGGUCAGCGCAAGCGAAGCUCCUGAUCGAAGCCCCGGUAAACGGCGGCCGUAACUAUAACGGUCCUAAGGUAGCGAAAUUCCUUGUCGGGUAAGUUCCGACCUGCACGAAUGGCGUAAUGAUGGCCAGGCUGUCUCCACCCGAGACUCAGUGAAAUUGAACUCGCUGUGAAGAUGCAGUGUACCCGCGGCAAGACGGAAAGACCCCGUGAACCUUUACUAUAGCUUGACACUGAACAUUGAGCCUUGAUGUGUAGGAUAGGUGGGAGGCUUUGAAGUGUGGACGCCAGUCUGCAUGGAGCCGACCUUGAAAUACCACCCUUUAAUGUUUGAUGUUCUAACGUGGACCCGUAAUCCGGGUUGCGGACAGUGUCUGGUGGGUAGUUUGACUGGGGCGGUCUCCUCCUAAAGAGUAACGGAGGAGCACGAAGGUUGGCUAAUCCUGGUCGGACAUCAGGAGGUUAGUGCAAUGGCAUAAGCCAGCUUGACUGCGAGCGUGACGGCGCGAGCAGGUGCGAAAGCAGGUCAUAGUGAUCCGGUGGUUCUGAAUGGAAGGGCCAUCGCUCAACGGAUAAAAGGUACUCCGGGGAUAACAGGCUGAUACCGCCCAAGAGUUCAUAUCGACGGCGGUGUUUGGCACCUCGAUGUCGGCUCAUCACAUCCUGGGGCUGAAGUAGGUCCCAAGGGUAUGGCUGUUCGCCAUUUAAAGUGGUACGCGAGCUGGGUUUAGAACGUCGUGAGACAGUUCGGUCCCUAUCUGCCGUGGGCGCUGGAGAACUGAGGGGGGCUGCUCCUAGUACGAGAGGACCGGAGUGGACGCAUCACUGGUGUUCGGGUUGUCAUGCCAAUGGCACUGCCCGGUAGCUAAAUGCGGAAGAGAUAAGUGCUGAAAGCAUCUAAGCACGAAACUUGCCCCGAGAUGAGUUCUCCCUGAGACUUUAGGUCUCCUGAAGGAACGUUGAAGACGACGACGUUGAUAGGCCGGGUGUGUAAGCGCAGCGAUGCGUUGAGCUAACCGGUACUAAUGAACCGUGAGGCUUAACCUUACAACGCCGAAG
RNAcentral lists this ribosomal RNA (3028 nucleotides) under Salmonella enterica subsp. enterica serovar 1,4,[5],12:i:-. RNAcentral describes it as "23S ribosomal RNA". It matches the Rfam family "Bacterial large subunit ribosomal RNA". The record is from RNAcentral. Lineage: Bacteria; Pseudomonadati; Pseudomonadota; Gammaproteobacteria; Enterobacterales; Enterobacteriaceae.